UUAGUCUUCUGAUCGUAAAAGAGCAGAAGAAGCCCUUUCUAAAUUUCCCUCAGAAGCAGGAGUUGACAAACUUGCAGCCUGGAAUGAUGAAGAUGAAGUAGGAGCUGGUCCUGAGAGUGUGUGACUGUGAGAGAAAUUGCUAACAUCGCUGCUCAAAUAUGUAUUGAAUCCACUAAUAGACUGUUCCGGCACGGCCAGAAGGGAAGGUGGCUUAUCAAUCUCUACAAUCCCUUCCAGCAUCCGCACCACUUUUUCCAUUCUUGGCCUCAGUGAUGGUUGCUCCUGAAUGCACCAAAAGCUUACUUGAAUUGCCCUCAUCACUUGUUCCAUAUCCACUUCUUGGUGACCAGCUAGCCUUCUGUCAACAAUUCCCCAGACAUUACCUUUCUCAAACUCUUCAUAUGCCCACACUGAAAACUUUUUCAUAUUUGUUUCUGCAGACAUUUCAAAGUUCCUAAAUCCACCCACAAUCUCCAGCAAAACCAUACCAUAACUAUAAAUAUCAGAUUUUGAUGUUAUUGGAAGAUUUGAAAGCCACUCUGGUGCUAAAUAUCCCCUAGUGCCUCUAAUGCUUGCCAAUGACCUAUGCUCCUUGGCAUGGAUCAGCUUUGCAAGACCGAAAUCUGAGACUUUGGCAGUGUAAUUCUCAUCCAAGAGAAUGUUUUCAGGCUUUAUAUCACAGUGAACAAUGCAGUCAUGGCACUCCUCAUGGAGGUAUGUGAUGGCCUUGGCAGUGCCAAGGGCAAUGCUGAAUCUUUGCUCCCAAUUCAACAAUUUCCCCGUUUGAUUAUUUGUGAUGAAAAGGAAUUGAUCAAGAGACCCAUUUUUCAUGAACUCAUAUACCAACAGCCUAUGGCGCCCUUCAGAGCAAAAACCAAUUAGUCUUACCAAAUUCAGAUGGUGCGUGCUGCUUAUAGUGGCAACCUCCAUUCUGAACUGUUUCUCCCCCUGCUCAAUUCCUUCAAGUUGCUUCACUGCAACAACCAUUCCAUUGGCAAGAACUCCUUUGUACACACUCCCAAAUCCUCCAGUUCCAAGCUUCUCCUUGAACCCUUUUGUUGCGCGUUGAAGGUCCUUAUACCAGAACUGGACUGGCGCACCAGAAGCAUACUCAAGAAGAGCAUAUUGGGCAGAUAGUCCUCCAAAUCUGGGGCUGUUUCUAAAACACCACAACCAUAAACCAGCUUCCAAGCUGAUCAAACCGAAAACGAUAGCUACUCCCUGAACGAUUAAAGACCACCCAUGUACCCUCCAACCACUGCUCUUGCCAGACAACUGCGAAGGUAAUGGGUUUGGAAGUACUGGGGAGCAAACUUUGAUAUGUGAAGUUGAAGGAAGUGCAGGACUCGAAUAACCAGUAAUAUAACCAGGUUUUUUUAAAUAACACUGGCCUGUGCCAUCAGACAACACAGUGGAAGCUUCACAACCACCGGCAUUGCUAAGACAAUUCAAUCUACAUGCUGAUACAGCAAUAAAGAAAACCUCUGACUCCGAACCACCACCAAAUACACUCUGUGGAG
RNAcentral lists this unclassified non-coding RNA (1520 nucleotides) under Hevea brasiliensis (rubber tree). Lineage: Eukaryota; Viridiplantae; Streptophyta; Magnoliopsida; Malpighiales; Euphorbiaceae. The record is from RNAcentral.